UACGUAGGGGGCAAGCGUUGUCCGGAUUUACUGGGCGUAAAGAGCGUGUAGGCGGCUGGGUAGGUCCGUUGUGAAAACUCGAGGCUCAACCUCGAGACGCCGAUGGAAACCCCCCAGCUAGAGUCCGGAAGAGGCGAGUGGAAUUCCUGGUGUAGCGGUGAAAUGCGCAGAUAUCAGGAGGAACACCAAUUGCGAAGGCAGCUCGCUGGGACGUUACUGACGCUGAGACGCGAAAGCGUGGGGAGCAAACAGG
RNAcentral lists this ribosomal RNA (253 nucleotides) under uncultured bacterium. Its description in RNAcentral is "partial 16S ribosomal RNA". It matches the Rfam family "Bacterial small subunit ribosomal RNA", at positions 524 to 776 of the family's 1533-position model. The record is from RNAcentral.